UGGGGAAUAUUGCACAAUGGGCGAAAGCCUGAUGCAGCAACGCCGCGUGAGUGAUGAAGGCCUUCGGGUUGUAAAGCUCUGUCUUUUGGGACGAUAAUGACGGUACCAAAGGAGGAAGCCACGGCUAACUACGUGCCAGCAGCCGCGGUAAUACGUAGUGGCAAGCGUUGUCCGGAUUUACUGGGCGUAAAGGAUGCGUAGGCGGAUUUUUAAGUGAGAUGUGAAAUACCCGGGCUUAACUUGGGUGCUGCAUUUCAAACUGGGAAUCUAGAGUCUCGUAGAGGGGGGUAGAAUUCCAGGUGUAGCGGUGAAAUGCGUAGAGAUCUGGAGGAAUACCGGUGGCGAAGGCGGCCCCCUGGACGAAGACUGACGCUCAGGUGCGAAAGCGUGGGGAGCAAACAGGAUUAGAUACCCUGGUAGUCCACGCCCNAAACGAUGUCAACUAGUUGUUGGGGAUUCAUUUCCUUAGUAACGUAGCUAACGCNUGAAGUUGACCGCCUGGGGAGUACGGUCGCAAGAUUAAAACUCAAAGGAAUUGACGG
This 542-nucleotide ribosomal RNA is filed under the name uncultured bacterium. Its description in RNAcentral is "partial 16S ribosomal RNA". It matches the Rfam family "Bacterial small subunit ribosomal RNA", at positions 355 to 916 of the family's 1533-position model. The record is from RNAcentral.